GUGAGGAAUAUUGGGCAAUGGGCGCAAGCCUGACCCAGCAACGCCGCGUGAAGGAAGACGGUCUUCGGAUUGUAAACUUCUUUUGUCAGGGACGAAUAAUGACGGUACCUGGCGAAUAAGCCACGGCUAACUACGUGCCAGCAGCCGCGGUAAUACGUAGGUGGCAAGCGUUGUCCGGAUUUACUGGGUGUAAAGGGCGAGUAGGCGGAUUUGCAAGUCAGGUGUGAAAGCCCGGGGCUUAACCCCGGGUCUGCAUUUGAAACUGCGGAUCUUGAGUAUCGGAGAGGCAGGCGGAAUUCCCGGUGUAGCGGUGGAAUGCGUAGAUAUCGGGAGGAACACCAGUGGCGAAGGCGGCCUGCUGGACGACAACUGACGCUGAGGAGCGAAAGCGUGGGGAGCAAACAGGAUUAGAACCCCUGUAGUCC
Molecule: ribosomal RNA, 425 nt
Filed under: uncultured bacterium
Lineage: Bacteria
Description: partial 16S ribosomal RNA
Rfam family: Bacterial small subunit ribosomal RNA
Source: RNAcentral